RNAcentral lists this ribosomal RNA (1072 nucleotides) under uncultured bacterium. RNAcentral's name for it is "bacterial SSU rRNA". It matches the Rfam family "Bacterial small subunit ribosomal RNA", at positions 338 to 1398 of the family's 1533-position model. The record is from RNAcentral.
CCUACGGGGGGCAGCAGUCGAGAAUCAUUCGCAAUGGACGAAAGUCUGACGGUGCGACGCCGCGUGGAGGAUGAAGGCCCUAGGGUCGUAAACUCCUGUCAUCAGGGAGUAAUUACUCACGUAGUAACUGACGUGGGUCUUGAUAGUACCUGAAGAGGAAGGGACGGCAAACUUCGUGCCAGCAGCCGCGGUAAUACGAAGGUCUCAAGCGUUGUUCGGAUUUACUGGGCGUAAAGAGUCUGUAGGCGGUGUGGUAAGUCAGAUGUGAAAUCCCGGGGCUCAACCCCGGAACUGCAUCCGAUACUGCCACACUAGAGUAUUGGAGGGGAGUCUGGAAUUCUCGGUGUAGCAGUGAAAUGCGUAGAUAUCGAGAGGAACACUAGUGGCGAAGGCGAGACUCUGGACAAUAACUGACGCUGAGAGACGAAGGCCAGGGUAGCGAAAAGGAUUAGAUACCCUUGUAGUCCUGGCAGUAAACGGUGCACGCUUGGUGUGGGAAGGUUCGACCCUUUCCGUGCCGGAGCUAACGCGUUAAGCGUGCCGCCUGGGGAGUACGGUCGCAAGAUUAAAACUCAAAGAAAUUGACGGGGACCCGCACAAGCGGUGGAGCAUGUGGCUUAAUUCGAUGCAACGCGAAGAACCUUACCUGGGCUUGACAUGUUAGUCGUAGAUUUGUGAAAGCUUAUCGUCACUUCGGGUGGACUAUCACAGGUGCUGCAUGGCUGUCGUCAGCUCGCGUCGUGAGAUGUCAGGUUAAGUCCUAUAACGAGCGCAACCCCUAUGAACUGUUGCCAGCGAGUAAUGUCGGGGACUCUGUUCGGACUGCCCAGAUUAACUGGGAGGAAGGAGGGGAUGACGUCAAGUCAGUAUGGCCCUUACGCCCAGGGCUGCACACGUGCUACAAUGUCCAGUACAAUGUGAACCGAUACCGUGAGGUGGAGGAAAUCCUGAAAACUGGGCUCAGUUCGGAUUGUAGACUGCAACUCGUCUACAUGAAGUUGGAAUCGCUAGUAAUGGCUCAUCAGCUACGGAGCCGUGAAUACGUUCCCGGGUCUUGUACACACCGCCCGUC